This is a small nuclear RNA of Cebus imitator (Panamanian white-faced capuchin), 104 nucleotides long. The record is from RefSeq and is a predicted model, not a curated record. NCBI's taxonomy places the organism in Eukaryota, Metazoa, Chordata, Mammalia, Primates, Cebidae.
ACGCUUGCUUUGGCAGCGCAUAUACUAAAAUUGGAACAAUACAGAGACUAGCAUGGCCCAUGCACAAGGAUGACAUGCAAAUUCGUGAAGCGUUCCAUAUUUUU